Molecule: long non-coding RNA, 287 nt
Organism: Leguminivora glycinivorella
Lineage: Eukaryota; Metazoa; Arthropoda; Insecta; Lepidoptera; Tortricidae
Exons: 3
Source: RefSeq, a predicted model, not a curated record
AGAAACUAAAAUAACUACUAGUUUAAACUACUCGUUUUUUUUUACGAUGCUUAUAAGUUUAUUAGUGUUAUGUGCUUUUUUAAAUUGCAACAAUGGCCAGAUAUGUUCGAAAAAGAUUACUGUGACCAAAUGGGUAGAAGAAGACACUACUUAUUCCGUUAAGGAGAAAAAGUGCCUUUUGAUUAUUUUGUGCAAGACCUCAACUAAAACGGACCAUGCCAGAAAGCCUGUGCUAAAAAAAGAGACUAUUGCUGUUCCAACAUGUUGCGACGGAUAUCGAAAUAUUG